UUAAUCUUCUCUGUGUGACUAAUGUCUUUCAAGUCUUUUAACUUCCCAAACAUUAAUAGAUCAUGUGAUUAUUGUAUUUAAGGCUUGGUUUGAUGCAGAACCUUUAAGUAAGGAAAAUUAGGUGAUAUAACCAAACAAAAACUCAUAAUCUAAUAACAUAAAGAAGAAGGGGAUUGAUUCUCUUCUCCUCUUGCCAGCGCAACAAACAGAGGAAGGAUACGCCGACACCUGUCCCAUCUCUUUAUACUCUGCGUUCCAAUCCUCUUCAGUCAUAAGCUUCUAAAAGAAUCAACGGAAAAUAAGCUUCUAAAAAAAAUCCACAGAAAAUUGCCAACUUUGCUGUCAUCCUCGCAGAUUUAAAGGCUAGCCGUUGUAUCUCCUCCGUCGAGGCUCGAAUCCCUCUUGCGACGAUCAUUGAAUCCUGUCACAACCUCCCUCCUGUGAUGAUCAUUAAAUCCCGCUGUAACCUCCAUCUUGCGUAAGAUCUCUGUCUAUGUUCAUUAUAAUUCAUAUAUUUUUAAAACUUUUAUCAUUUUCUCAUGAUCCCAUUUAGUUGUGUGGCCUGAGAAAUUAUGCUUAUAUGAGUUGUUCAAUAGAUGCUCGCCAAUAGCUUCGUCACUGGAACGAUUGCAGAAGCAUCUGAAAAAAUAACACAGGCUUAUAAGCAUAGAAACAAGGUUAUUGUAUGUUUCUUUAACUCUUCGACUAUGUUAUAUACUGAACCAUAUUCAAUUUGAAAGGGCUGACUUUUCUAAAACAUAUAUCUGGAACUUGUGUGUUGGUACAUGCUGAGCAUGCUCUUGACCCCUCACUUGCUAGGGUUAUCUGUUUAAAUACAGAAAACCUAUUUCUUUCUCUUAUUUGUGGACACUUUAAUCCAAAUUGAUUUGGUUGAUGUAUUGUCUCUUACUGUGUUAUUAAGGUUUAAUAUGAGAUGAAUAAUGGAUCGGUGAGUUUAGCCCGAGCUCUAUAUUUCUCUCCUCACGUUAAGUUUUUUUUUUAACAGGGGCACUUGAGUAUGAGAUGCGUGAUGCUCAUAUAGCUAUCCAAGCCAGAUUGAUUAGCCAAGCUUUGAUAAGCUGAGCCACUCUUUCUAUAACCCUUAUCAUCUUUAUAAAUCAGACAUGCUAUUCUCUGUUCGGGAGACUUCAUUGUGGCCAGGUGUGAGGAACCAGUUAAUGGGGGAGGUUGACUCAGUCAUUGCAAUUUAGGAUGCUGAGGUUCUGAUAUUUAAGGCACAUGUUUUACAUUUCGUUACACCAGAGAUUUGGUCGUGCUAAAUCACUCUCCCUCGAAAUGACAGACUCAUAUAAAUAAUAUAUAUAAAAAACGUUUGAUGCAGGCUUCCAGUUCCUCUCCUAAUAACAUAAAGAAGAAGGGGAUUGAUUCUCUUCUCCUCUUGCCAGCGCAACAAACAGAGGAAGGAUACGCCGACACCUGUCCCAUCUCUUUAUACUCUGCGUUUCAUUAACGUAAUCAGCGACUCGUGUGUUUUUUUUGUUGUUGUUGUGGGCUUUGACUCAAAGAAUCUAGCCCGAUAGCGAGAAACCCUAAUCCUCUCAUUCUAGAGUUCAUCCGAUCUUUCUUCUCAGCCAUCGAUAGAUUUAGAUUUUUAAUUUGACGUGAUGAAUCUCUUCGAUCGCGUCGUUUGAUCUUCAUUUUCGUCAACCAAAACGUCUCAGUUAAAUAUUCAUCGCUCUAAACCCUUUAUCUCCAUCAACCACGAUCUAGACUUCAAAGUGAUUUUCUCCUUUGCAAGGUGGUGUAAAUGAGUAUAAAUAGGCUAGCCUUCCUCCUCUCAAAACCAUCCUCUCAAUCUGGUUAAACAGCGAAGUAAACUUGUUCGUCUUUCUGAUUUGAAGUCCGGUAGGUGUUCUUCCACUAUUCAGGUUACCUUGCUGCGAUUCUAUGGGCCCAGGAAUGUCAAACGCGGUGGUACGUCCUCUCCCACGAAAAUCAUCUAUCCAAUCCUCUUCAGUCAUAAGCUUCUAAAAGAAUCAACGGAAAAUAAGCUUCUAAAAAAAAUCCACAGAAAAUUGCCAACUUUGCUGUCAUCCUCGCAGAUUUAAAGGCUAGCCGUUGUAUCUCCUCCGUCGAGGCUCGAAUCCCUCUUGCGACGAUCAUUGAAUCCUGUCACAACCUCCCUCCUGUGAUGAUCAUUAAAUCCCGCUGUAACCUCCAUCUUGCGUAAGAUCUCUGUCUAUGUUCAUUAUAAUUCAUAUAUUUUUAAAACUUUUAUCAUUUUCUCAUGAUCCCAUUUAGUUGUGUGGCCUGAGAAAUUAUGCUUAUAUGAGUUGUUCAAUAGAUGCUCGCCAAUAGCUUCGUCACUGGAACGAUUGCAGAAGCAUCUGAAAAAAUAACACAGGCUUAUAAGCAUAGAAACAAGGUUAUUGUAUGUUUCUUUAACUCUUCGACUAUGUUAUAUACUGAACCAUAUUCAAUUUGAAAGGGCUGACUUUUCUAAAACAUAUAUCUGGAACUUGUGUGUUGGUACAUGCUGAGCAUGCUCUUGACCCCUCACUUGCUAGGGUUAUCUGUUUAAAUACAGAAAACCUAUUUCUUUCUCUUAUUUGUGGACACUUUAAUCCAAAUUGAUUUGGUUGAUGUAUUGUCUCUUACUGUGUUAUUAAGGUUUAAUAUGAGAUGAAUAAUGGAUCGGUGAGUUUAGCCCGAGCUCUAUAUUUCUCUCCUCACGUUAAGUUUUUUUUUUAACAGGGGCACUUGAGUAUGAGAUGCGUGAUGCUCAUAUAGCUAUCCAAGCCAGAUUGAUUAGCCAAGAUUUGAUAAGCUGAGCCACUCUUUCUAUAACCCUUAUCAUCUUUAUAAAUCAGGUAUUGAACUUCUUUAUGUAAUAUUUAAAGAACUAUGUUAGUUUCAAGAGUUUGGCAUAUUUUAUGAUCGCUCCCCCAUUGUGUUAUCAUGUAGUCUGAUGCGUCCUGCUAAUAGUAUCAAACAUUCUUUCAAUUUCAAAUGUCUUUUUUGUCUAAAGCCUUUAGUCUUUGAUUUUCAGACAUGCUAUUCUCUGUUCGGGAGACUUCAUUGUGGCCAGGUGUGAGGAACCAGUUAAUGGGGGAGGUUGACUCAGUCAUUGCAAUUUAGGAUGCUGAGGUUCUGAUAUUUAAGGCACAUGUUUUACAUUUCGUUACACCAGAGAUUUGGUCGUGCUAAAUCACUCUCCCUCGAAAUGACAGACUCAUAUAAAUAAUAUAUAUAAAAAACGUUUGAUGCAGGCUUCCAGUUCCUCUCCUAAUAACAUAAAGAAGAAGGGGAUUGAUUCUCUUCUCCUCUUGCCAGCGCAACAAACAGAGGAAGGAUACGCCGACACCUGUCCCAUCUCUUUAUACUCUGCGUUUCAUUAACGUAAUCAGCGACUCGUGUGUUUUUUUUGUUGUUGUUGUGGGCUUUGACUCAAAGAAUCUAGCCCGAUAGCGAGAAACCCUAAUCCUCUCAUUCUAGAGUUCAUCCGAUCUUUCUUCUCAGCCAUCGAUAGAUUUAGAUUUUUAAUUUGACGUGAUGAAUCUCUUCGAUCGCGUCGUUUGAUCUUCAUUUUCGUCAACCAAAACGUCUCAGUUAAAUAUUCAUCGCUCUAAACCCUUUAUCUCCAUCAACCACGAUCUAGACUUCAAAGUGAUUUUCUCCUUUGCAAGGUGGUGUAAAUGAGUAUAAAUAGGCUAGCCUUCCUCCUCUCAAAACCAUCCUCUCAAUCUGGUUAAACAGCGAAGUAAACUUGUUCGUCUUUCUGAUUUGAAGUCCGGUAGGUGUUCUUCCACUAUUCAGGUUACCUUGCUGCGAUUCUAUGGGCCCAGGAAUGUCAAACGCGGUGGUACGUCCUCUCCCACGAAAAUCAUCUAUCCAAUCCUCUUCAGUCAUAAGCUUCUAAAAGAAUCAACGGAAAAUAAGCUUCUAAAAAAAAUCCACAGAAAAUUGCCAACUUUGCUGUCAUCCUCGCAGAUUUAAAGGCUAGCCGUUGUAUCUCCUCCGUCGAGGCUCGAAUCCCUCUUGCGACGAUCAUUGAAUCCUGUCACAACCUCCCUCCUGUGAUGAUCAUUAAAUCCCGCUGUAACCUCCAUCUUGCGUAAGAUCUCUGUCUAUGUUCAUUAUAAUUCAUAUAUUUUUAAAACUUUUAUCAUUUUCUCAUGAUCCCAUUUAGUUGUGUGGCCUGAGAAAUUAUGCUUAUAUGAGUUGUUCAAUAGAUGCUCGCCAAUAGCUUCGUCACUGGAACGAUUGCAGAAGCAUCUGAAAAAAUAACACAGGCUUAUAAGCAUAGAAACAAGGUUAUUGUAUGUUUCUUUAACUCUUCGACUAUGUUAUAUACUGAACCAUAUUCAAUUUGAAAGGGCUGACUUUUCUAAAACAUAUAUCUGGAACUUGUGUGUUGGUACAUGCUGAGCAUGCUCUUGACCCCUCACUUGCUAGGGUUAUCUGUUUAAAUACAGAAAACCUAUUUCUUUCUCUUAUUUGUGGACACUUUAAUCCAAAUUGAUUUGGUUGAUGUAUUGUCUCUUACUGUGUUAUUAAGGUUUAAUAUGAGAUGAAUAAUGGAUCGGUGAGUUUAGCCCGAGCUCUAUAUUUCUCUCCUCACGUUAAGUUUUUUUUUAACAGGGGCACUUGAGUAUGAGAUGCGUGAUGCUCAUAUAGCUAUCCAAGCCAGAUUGAUUAGCCAAGCUUUGAUAAGCUGAGCCACUCUUUCUAUAACCCUUAUCAUCUUUAUAAAUCAGGUAUUGAACUUCUUUAUGUAAUAUUUAAAGAACUAUGUUAGUUUCAAGAGUUUGGCAUAUUUUAUGAUCGCUCCCCCAUUGUGUUAUCAUGUAGUCUGAUGCGUCCUGCUAAUAGUAUCAAACAUUCUUUCAAUUUCAAAUGUCUUUUUUGUCUAAAGCCUUUAGUCUUUGAUUUUCAGACAUGCUAUUCUCUGUUCGGGAGACUUCAUUGUGGCCAGGUGUGAGGAACCAGUUAAUGGGGGAGGUUGACUCAGUCAUUGCAAUUUAGGAUGCUGAGGUUCUGAUAUUUAAGGCACAUGUUUUACAUUUCGUUACACCAGAGAUUUGGUCGUGCUAAAUCACUCUCCCUCGAAAUGACAGACUCAUAUAAAUAAUAUAUAUAAAAAACGUUUGAUGCAGGCUUCCAGUUCCUCUCCUAAUAACAUAAAGAAGAAGGGGAUUGAUUCUCUUCUCCUCUUGCCAGCGCAACAAACAGAGGAAGGAUACGCCGACACCUGUCCCAUCUCUUUAUACUCUGCGUUUCAUUAACGUAAUCAGCGACUCGUGUGUUUUUUUUGUUGUUGUUGUGGGCUUUGACUCAAAGAAUCUAGCCCGAUAGCGAGAAACCCUAAUCCUCUCAUUCUAGAGUUCAUCCGAUCUUUCUUCUCAGCCAUCGAUAGAUUUAGAUUUUUAAUUUGACGUGAUGAAUCUCUUCGAUCGCGUCGUUUGAUCUUCAUUUUCGUCAACCAAAACGUCUCAGUUAAAUAUUCAUCGCUCUAAACCCUUUAUCUCCAUCAACCACGAUCUAGACUUCAAAGUGAUUUUCUCCUUUGCAAGGUGGUGUAAAUGAGUAUAAAUAGGCUAGCCUUCCUCCUCUCAAAACCAUCCUCUCAAUCUGGUUAAACAGCGAAGUAAACUUGUUCGUCUUUCUGAUUUGAAGUCCGGUAGGUGUUCUUCCACUAUUCAGGUUACCUUGCUGCGAUUCUAUGGGCCCAGGAAUGUCAAACGCGGUGGUACGUCCUCUCCCACGAAAAUCAUCUAUCCAAUCCUCUUCAGUCAUAAGCUUCUAAAAGAAUCAACGGAAAAUAAGCUUCUAAAAAAAAUCCACAGAAAAUUGCCAACUUUGCUGUCAUCCUCGCAGAUUUAAAGGCUAGCCGUUGUAUCUCCUCCGUCGAGGCUCGAAUCCCUCUUGCGACGAUCAUUGAAUCCUGUCACAACCUCCCUCCUGUGAUGAUCAUUAAAUCCCGCUGUAACCUCCAUCUUGCGUAAGAUCUCUGUCUAUGUUCAUUAUAAUUCAUAUAUUUUUAAAACUUUUAUCAUUUUCUCAUGAUCCCAUUUAGUUGUGUGGCCGGAGAAAUUAUGCUUAUAUGAGUUGUUCAAUAGAUGCUCGCCAAUAGCUUCGUCACUGGAACGAUUGCAGAAGCAUCUGAAAAAAUAACACAGGCUUAUAAGCAUAGAAACAAGGUUAUUGUAUGUUUCUUUAACUCUUCGACUAUGUUAUAUACUGAACCAUAUUCAAUUUGAAAGGGCUGACUUUUCUAAAACAUAUAUCUGGAACUUGUGUGUUGGUACAUGCUGAGCAUGCUCUUGACCCCUCACUUGCUAGGGUUAUCUGUUUAAAUACAGAAAACCUAUUUCUUUCUCUUAUUUGUGGACACUUUAAUCCAAAUUGAUUUGGUUGAUGUAUUGUCUCUUACUGUGUUAUUAAGGUUUAAUAUGAGAUGAAUAAUGGAUCGGUGAGUUUAGCCCGAGCUCUAUAUUUCUCUCCUCACGUUAAGUUUUUUUUUUAACAGGGGCACUUGAGUAUGAGAUGCGUGAUGCUCAUAUAGCUAUCCAAGCCAGAUUGAUUAGCCAAGCUUUGAUAAGCUGAGCCACUCUUUCUAUAACCCUUAUCAUCUUUAUAAAUCAGGUAUUGAACUUCUUUAUGUAAUAUUUAAAGAACUAUGUUAGUUUCAAGAGUUUGGCAUAUUUUAUGAUCGCUCCCCCAUUGUGUUAUCAUGUAGUCUGAUGCGUCCUGCUAAUAGUAUCAAACAUUCUUUCAAUUUCAAAUGUCUUUUUUGUCUAAAGCCUUUAGUCUUUGAUUUUCAGACAUGCUAUUCUCUGUUUGGGAGACUUCAUUGUGGCCAGGUGUGAGGAACCAGUUAAUGGGGGAGGUUGACUCAGUCAUUGCAAUUUAGGAUGCUGAGGUUCUGAUAUUUAAGGCACAUGUUUUACAUUUCGUUACACCAGAGAUUUGGUCGUGCUAAAUCACUCUCCCUCGAAAUGACAGACUCAUAUAAAUAAUAUAUAUAAAAAACGUUUGAUGCAGGCUUCCAGUUCCUCUCCUAAUAACAUAAAGAAGAAGGGGAUUGAUUCUCUUCUCCUCUUGCCAGCGCAACAAACAGAGGAAGGAUACGCCGACACCUGUCCCAUCUCUUUAUACUCUGCGUUUCAUUAACGUAAUCAGCGACUCGUGUGUUUUUUUUGUUGUUGUUGUGGGCUUUGACUCAAAGAAUCUAGCCCGAUAGCGAGAAACCCUAAUCCUCUCAUUCUAGAGUUCAUCCGAUCUUUCUUCUCAGCCAUCGAUAGAUUUAGAUUUUUAAUUUGACGUGAUGAAUCUCUUCGAUCGCGUCGUUUGAUCUUCAUUUUCGUCAACCAAAACGUCUCAGUUAAAUAUUCAUCGCUCUAAACCCUUUAUCUCCAUCAACCACGAUCUAGACUUCAAAGUGAUUUUCUCCUUUGCAAGGUGGUGUAAAUGAGUAUAAAUAGGCUAGCCUUCCUCCUCUCAAAACCAUCCUCUCAAUCUGGUUAAACAGCGAAGUAAACUUGUUCGUCUUUCUGAUUUGAAGUCCGGUAGGUGUUCUUCCACUAUUCAGGUUACCUUGCUGCGAUUCUAUGGGCCCAGGAAUGUCAAACGCGGUGGUACGUCCUCUCCCACGAAAAUCAUCUAUCCAAUCCUCUUCAGUCAUAAGCUUCUAAAAGAAUCAACGGAAAAUAAGCUUCUAAAAAAAAUCCACAGAAAAUUGCCAACUUUGCUGUCAUCCUCGCAGAUUUAAAGGCUAGCCGUUGUAUCUCCUCCGUCGAGGCUCGAAUCCCUCUUGCGACGAUCAUUGAAUCCUGUCACAACCUCCCUCCUGUGAUGAUCAUUAAAUCCCGCUGUAACCUCCAUCUUGCGUAAGAUCUCUGUCUAUGUUCAUUAUAAUUCAUAUAUUUUUAAAACUUUUAUCAUUUUCUCAUGAUCCCAUUUAGUUGUGUGGCCUGAGAAAUUAUGCUUAUAUGAGUUGUUCAAUAGAUGCUCGCCAAUAGCUUCGUCACUGGAACGAUUGCAGAAGCAUCUGAAAAAAUAACACAGGCUUAUAAGCAUAGAAACAAGGUUAUUGUAUGUUUCUUUAACUCUUCGACUAUGUUAUAUACUGAACCAUAUUCAAUUUGAAAGGGCUGACUUUUCUAAAACAUAUAUCUGGAACUUGUGUGUUGGUACAUGCUGAGCAUGCUCUUGACCCCUCACUUGCUAGGGUUAUCUGUUUAAAUACAGAAAACCUAUUUCUUUCUCUUAUUUGUGGACACUUUAAUCCAAAUUGAUUUGGUUGAUGUAUUGUCUCUUACUGUGUUAUUAAGGUUUAAUAUGAGAUGAAUAAUGGAUCGGUGAGUUUAGCCCGAGCUCUAUAUUUCUCUCCUCACGUUAAGUUUUUUUUUUAACAGGGGCACUUGAGUAUGAGAUGCGUGAUGCUCAUAUAGCUAUCCAAGCCAGAUUGAUUAGCCAAGCUUUGAUAAGCUGAGCCACUCUUUCUAUAACCCUUAUCAUCUUUAUAAAUCAGGUAUUGAACUUCUUUAUGUAAUAUUUAAAGAAUUAUGUUAGUUUCAAGAGUUUGGCAUAUUUUAUGAUCGCUCCCCCAUUGUGUUAUCAUGUAGUCUGAUGCGUCCUGCUAAUAGUAUCAAACAUUCUUUCAAUUUCAAAUGUCUUUUUUGUCUAAAGCCUUUAGUCUUUGAUUUUCAGACAUGCUAUUCUCUGUUCGGGAGACUUCAUUGUGGCCAGGUGUGAGGAACCAGUUAAUGGGGGAGGUUGACUCAGUCAUUGCAAUUUAGGAUGCUGAGGUUCUGAUAUUUAAGGCACAUGUUUUACAUUUCGUUACACCAGAGAUUUGGUCGUGCUAAAUCACUCUCCCUCGAAAUGACAGACUCAUAUAAAUAAUAUAUAUAAAAAACGUUUGAUGCAGGCUUCCAGUUCCUAACACCCGGAAACAAUGACGCUUUGUUGUACUCUACAUCUGAAGAUCAUGUAUUACUAUUCCUUAUUGCUGCACGGAAUCUUAUUACCUUUUUGUUUGUUCUCAAUGAUAUUGGACAGGUUAGUUAGUGUCGA
This is a long non-coding RNA of Brassica napus (rape), 9039 nucleotides long. RefSeq lists it as uncharacterized. The record is from RefSeq and is a predicted model, not a curated record. NCBI's taxonomy places the organism in Eukaryota, Viridiplantae, Streptophyta, Magnoliopsida, Brassicales, Brassicaceae. The transcript is spliced from 2 exons.